RNAcentral lists this ribosomal RNA (480 nucleotides) under uncultured bacterium. RNAcentral describes it as "bacterial SSU rRNA". It matches the Rfam family "Bacterial small subunit ribosomal RNA", at positions 30 to 506 of the family's 1533-position model. The record is from RNAcentral.
UUGAACGCUGGCGGCAUGCUUUACACAUGCAAGUCGAACGGUAACAGGCCGCAAGGUGCUGACGAGUGGCGAACGGGUGAGUAAUGCAUCGGAACGUGCCCAGUCGUGGGGGAUAACGCAGCGAAAGCUGUGCUAAUACCGCAUACGAUCUAAGGAUGAAAGCGGGGGACCGAAAGGCCUCGCGCGAUUGGAGCGGCCGAUGUCAGAUUAGCUAGUUGGUGGGGUAAAGGCCCACCAAGGCAACGAUCUGUAGCUGGUCUGAGAGGACGACCAGCCACACUGGGACUGAGACACGGCCCAGACUCCUACGGGAGGCAGCAGUGGGGAAUUUUGGACAAUGGGGGAAACCCUGAUCCAGCCAUUCCGCGUGAGUGAAGAAGGCCUUCGGGUUGUAAAGCUCUUUCAGGAGGGAAGAAACGGUUACGGAUAAUACCUGUGACUAAUGACGGUACCUUCAGAAGAAGCACCGGCUAACUACGU